UCAGAUACUGGUCCUUGGAAA
Caenorhabditis elegans is the source of this 21-nucleotide non-coding RNA. The record is from Ensembl. Lineage: Eukaryota; Metazoa; Nematoda; Chromadorea; Rhabditida; Rhabditidae.